UGAGCAAUCUGCCCUUCACUUUGGGAUAAGCCUCGGAAACGGGGUCUAAUACCGGAUACGACGACCGACUGCAUGGUCUGGUUGUGGAAACUUUUUUGGGUGGGGGAUGUGCUCGCGGCCUAUCAGCUUGUUGGUGGGGUGAUGGCCUACCAAGGCGACGACGGGUAGCCGGCCUGAGAGGGUGUCCGGCCACACUGGGACUGAGAUACGGCCCAGACUCCUACGGGA
This 228-nucleotide ribosomal RNA is filed under the name uncultured bacterium. Its description in RNAcentral is "partial 16S ribosomal RNA". It matches the Rfam family "Bacterial small subunit ribosomal RNA", at positions 118 to 346 of the family's 1533-position model. The record is from RNAcentral.